UAAAACUCGUACCUUUUGCAUCAUGAUCUAGCCAGCAUCCCCAAGCAAAGAGAACUCCAGUUUGACACCCCGAAACCUCCGACGAGCUACCUCAAAGCCGCCUAAAGCAGGGCAAACCCAUCUCUGUGGCAAAAGAGUGGGAAGACUUUCAGGUAGAGGUGAAAAGCCUACCGAGUCAGGUUAUAGCUGGUUGCUCAAAAAAUGAAUAUUAGUUCAGCCCCAUAUAAUACCCCCGCCAAUCAUGUACAAUUUUAGUAGGCAAAGAGUCACCCAUGGGAGUUAGUUAAAGGAGGUACAGCUCCUUCAACAAAGGAUACAACCUUAAAUAGAAGGCUAAGGAAUACAUUUUAUCGAAAGGCUUUUAAAAGUUUCAGUAGGCCUAAAAGCAGCCAUCUUAAUAGAAAGCGUUAAAGCUUAAACCAAAUCAAGCCUAAUAUCCCAUUCAACUAUCCAAUGCCCCUACACAUUACUGAGCCAUUUUAUGCCCGCAUAAAAGAGACCAUGCUAGAACAAGUAAUAAGAAGAAUGAACUUCUCCUCGCACAUGUGUAAAUCGAACCGGACAAACCACCGAUAAUUAACGAACCCAAAAACAGAGGGCCCCACACAACCGCCACCCCAACCAAGAAAACCACGUCCCACCACAAUCGUUACCCCCACACAGGAGUGCACACACCCAAAGGAAAGACCAAAAGGAUAAAAAGGAACUCGGCAAACCAAAACCCCGCCUGUUUACCAAAAACAUCGCCUCCUGCUACCAAC
Molecule: ribosomal RNA, 761 nt
Filed under: Ilisha macrogaster (Kalimantan ilisha)
Lineage: Eukaryota; Metazoa; Chordata; Actinopteri; Clupeiformes; Pristigasteridae
Description: partial 16S ribosomal RNA
Rfam family: Bacterial large subunit ribosomal RNA (bases 1-509)
Source: RNAcentral